Molecule: unclassified non-coding RNA, 309 nt
Organism: Cricetulus griseus (Chinese hamster)
Lineage: Eukaryota; Metazoa; Chordata; Mammalia; Rodentia; Cricetidae
Gene: 7SK
Rfam family: 7SK RNA
About the family: 7SK was discovered as an abundant small nuclear RNA in the mid-70s but a possible function has only recently been suggested.
Source: Ensembl
GGGGUCAACUUUGUAGAUCUGGCUGUGCCAUCUGUCACCCCACUGAUCACCACGGUUGAUUGGGCUGAUCUGGCUGGCUAGGCAGGUGUUCCCUUCCUCCCUCACCGCUCCCUGUGCGUCCCUCCCGAAGCUGCACACUCAGUGAAGAGGACCGGUCUUUGGUCAAGGGUAUAUGAGUAGCUGUGCUCCCCUGCUAGAACUUCCAAACAAGCUCUCAAGGUAUCAAUCUUAUUUUUCAUACUGGAGAAUGACUUUUCAGGGGUUAAUCACGUUACUGAGGAUUUACUGUUUUUGUAACAAGAUAUAGAA